UCUUACACAGUGAGACCAUCAGAUAUAUCUGCCAACCUAAUUGGACAGGGAGGUGCCUGGGAAACCAUACAGUAAUGUGUGGAUGCACCUGAGGAUAUUUCCAGAGAGAGUUAAUGCAGCGGGGAGACCAACCUUGAGUGCUUCCCACGGAGCUGGGCACGUUAUCGGACUACUCGUGAUGUGCACUAGAAUGCUUGUAGCUAACGAAUUACUCUCUGAACUCCAAGGCUGACGGCUGUCUCUUGAAAACACAGCCAAUGAAUCAAUAUGUCUGGAGAGAGCAGCCUGUCUUCAAAGGAAGAAAAAUUCAGCUAAAAAGAGGCCAGACCUGAGAUUCGAGCCCUCCUACCUGCUCCUGGGCCAGCAAAGCCUUCUUCUUCAUGAUUUUCAUGGCAUAGACGUCCCCGGUUGCCUUUUCUCUAACCACCUGAACUUCAGCGAAGUGACCACAGCCCACGAGACUUCGAACUUCGAAGUCUCUCACUGACGGCUGGAGCUCCCGUAACUCAGCUACAGUGUCAGAAUCUGUGGAAGAUGGAAGAGUCACACCCAGAUGAAAAGAAACACUUCGGAUGCACACAUCUUGCAAAGGAGGAAAAAAGAGAAAGAGAAAUGUGUUCUGUCUUCCAUCCCCUUCAGAAGACGUUUAGUCACUCCUCAUCUAUCAUGAACAAUUAUAAAAUCAG
Molecule: long non-coding RNA, 686 nt
Organism: Mastomys coucha (southern multimammate mouse)
Lineage: Eukaryota; Metazoa; Chordata; Mammalia; Rodentia; Muridae
Exons: 3
Source: RefSeq, a predicted model, not a curated record